AUUAAUAUAGUUUAAUUGGUUAAAACGAUUGCCUCAUAUGCAAUAGAUGUUAAGUUCGAGUCUUUCUAUUAAUA
Non-coding RNA from Pichia kudriavzevii, 74 nucleotides. NCBI's taxonomy places the organism in Eukaryota, Fungi, Ascomycota, Pichiomycetes, Pichiales, Pichiaceae. The record is from Rfam.